RNAcentral lists this ribosomal RNA (514 nucleotides) under uncultured bacterium. RNAcentral describes it as "partial 16S ribosomal RNA". It matches the Rfam family "Bacterial small subunit ribosomal RNA", at positions 28 to 523 of the family's 1533-position model. The record is from RNAcentral.
GACGAACGCUGGCGGCAUGCCUAAUACAUGCAAGUCGAGCGAACAGAUGAAGUGCUUGCACUUCUGACGUUAGCGGCGAACGGGUGAGUAACACGUAAGGAAUCUACCUAUAAGCGGGGGAUAACAUUCGGAAACGGGUGCUAAUACCGCAUAAUAUCUUCUUCCGCAUGGAAGAAGACUGAAAAACGGCUCUGCUGUCACUUAUAGAUGACCUUGCGGUGCAUUAGUUAGUUGGUGGGGUAAUGGCCUACCAAGACGAUGAUGCAUAGCCGACCUGAGAGGGUGAGCGGCCACAUUGGGACUGAGACACGGCCCAAACUCCUACGGGAGGCAGCAGUAGGGAAUCUUCCGCAAUGGGCGAAAGCCUGACGGAGCAAUGCCGCGUGAGUGAAGAAGGCCUUCGGGUCGUAAAACUCUGUUGUAAGAGAAGAACGUUGAUGAGAGUGGAAAGUUCAUCAAGUGACGGUAUCUUACCAGAAAGCCACGGCUAACUACGUGCCAGCAGCCGCGGUAA